UUCCGGUUGAUCCUGCCGGACCUGACUGCUAUCGGAUUGAUACUAAGCCAUGCGAGUCUUUGUAGUAAUACAAGGCAGACGGCUCAGUAACGCGUAGUCAACCUACCCUAUGGACGGGAAUAAUCUCGGGAAACUGAGCAUAAUACCCGGCGUACCACCAUUCCUGGAAUGGUUGGUGGUUAAAAUGAUUCGUCGCCGUAGGAUGGGACUGCGACCUAUCAGCUUGUUGGUGAGGUAAAGGCCCACCAAGGCGAUUACAGGUACGGGCUCUGAGAGGAGAAGCCCGGAGAUGGGUACUGAGACACGGACCCAGGCCCUAUGGGGCGCAGCAGGCGAGAAAACUUUGCAAUGUGCGAAAGCACGACAAGGUUAAUCCGAGUGAUUUCUGCUAAAGGAAUCUUUUGCCAGUUCUAAAAAUACUAGUGAAUAAGGGGUGGGCAAGUUCUGGUGUCAGCCGCCGCGGUAAAACCAGCACCUCAAGUGGUCAGGAGGAUUAUUGGGCCUAAAGCAUCCGUAGCCUGCUCUGUAAGUUUUCGGUUAAAUCUAUAUGCUCAACGUAUAGGCUGCCGAAAAUACUGCAGUGCUAGGAAGUGGGAGAGGUAGACGGUACUUGAUAGGAAGGGGUAAAAUCCUUUGAUCUAUCGAUGACCACCUGUGGCGAAGGCGGUCUACCAGAACACGUUCGACGGUGAGGGAUGAAAGCUGGGGGAGCAAACCGGAUUAGAUACCCGGGUAGUCCCAGCUGUAAACGAUGCAGACUCGAUGAUGCAUUGGCAUAUAGCCAGUGCAGUGUCGCAGGGAAGCCGUUAAGUCUGCCGCCUGGGAAGUACAUACGCAAGUAUGAACUUAAAGGAUUGGCGGGGAGCAC
Molecule: ribosomal RNA, 868 nt
Filed under: uncultured crenarchaeote
Lineage: Archaea; Thermoproteati; Thermoproteota
Description: bacterial SSU rRNA
Rfam family: Archaeal small subunit ribosomal RNA
Source: RNAcentral